RNAcentral lists this ribosomal RNA (254 nucleotides) under uncultured bacterium. Its description in RNAcentral is "partial 16S ribosomal RNA". It matches the Rfam family "Bacterial small subunit ribosomal RNA", at positions 524 to 776 of the family's 1533-position model. The record is from RNAcentral.
AACGUAGGAGACAAACGUUAUCCGGAGUUACUGGGCGUAAAGGGCGUGUAGGUGGUUAUGUAAGUCUGGCGUGAAAUUUUUCGGCUUAACCGGGAAAGGUCGUCGGAUACUGCAAAACUAGAGGACGGUAGAGGCGUGUGGAAUUCCGGGUGUAGUGGUGAAAAUGCGUAGAGAUCCGGAGGAACACCAGUGGCGAAGGCGACACGCUGGGCCGUACCUGACACUGAUGCGCGACAGCAUGGGGAGCAAACAGG